This 468-nucleotide ribosomal RNA is filed under the name uncultured bacterium. Its description in RNAcentral is "partial 16S ribosomal RNA". It matches the Rfam family "Bacterial small subunit ribosomal RNA", at positions 28 to 507 of the family's 1533-position model. The record is from RNAcentral.
GACGAACGCUGGCGGCGUGCUUAACACAUGCAAGUCGAACGGAAAGGCCCUGCUUUUGUGGGGUGCUCGAGUGGCGAACGGGUGAGUAACACGUGAGUAACCUGCCCUUGACUUUGGGAUAACUUCAGGAAACUGGGGCUAAUACCGGAUAGGAGCUCCUGCCGCAUGGUGGAGGUUGGAAAGUUUCGGCGGUUGGGGAUGGACUCGCGGCUUAUCAGCUUGUUGGUGGGGUAGUGGCUUAUCAAGGCUUUGACGGGUAGCCGGCCUGAGAGGGUGACCGGCCACAUUGGGACUGAGAUACGGCCCAGACUCCUACGGGAGGCAGCAGUGGGGAAUAUUGCACAAUGGGCGGAAGCCUGAUGCAGCAACGCCGCGUGCGGGAUGACGGCCUUCGGGUUGUAAACCGCUUUCGCCUGUGACGAAGCGUGAGUGACGGUAAUGGGUAAAGAAGCACCGGCUAACUACGUG